UUCUCAUAAAAGAGAAUGAUGGACAACUCCCAACAUAUAACCAUUUUAUGCUAGGUUGACGAAACCAACAUUCAUAGACUAUUCUUUAGAAUGUUACACAACAUAGAAUUUCAACGUUUUGAAGAGCUUGAGUCCUUUAACAAUUAAAAUUACAAACUCAUAAUAAUAGUGAUGUACUAUUUUCUUUAGACAACUACAAACCAAUCAUAUUCAAGUUUAUAUCCUUUUUCUCACCUCCCACUAUUUCUCAUGACUUUAAUGAGAAACUACAUUAUACAUUCAAAAUGUAUAAACGUGGAGUAUACGAGUAGAGGACAAUGUGGAGUAGCUUUAAAACCUUUCAAGCUUAUUUGUUUCAAUCUCCACUAAGUUGAUGUCUUGUUAUUAAGUGACUAAAGUCUUUAAACAUUUCAUAGAUUUAGACACUUCGUUCUUGGUUUAAUCACUAACACACUUGACAUUUUAAAACAAUUUUAAGAAUGCCCAAUUAGUUGUUCAAAACUACUAAUUGAAUCAAGAGUGAUCUUGGUUAUUGUGGUUAAGUAAGUGAUAACCAUAUAAGAAACGUUUUCUUAUUACUUAUAUCGUUAUAAUGUGAUCUUCCUUUUCUUCAAGAAAGGAAUCUCUAGACCUUUUUCAAUUCAUAUAGAACUCACAUGUAGGCAAUUGGAACCAAAUCUAAAGAUUCAUUGUAUCCAUCUAUGGCCAACACGUGAGAUCUAUCCAUAAUUGAUAAGUCCAAAGUUUGGAUAUCGCAUUACAUAAGUGAUAUAAAUCUUGUAUCUCAACUAGGAUACAACAAGACAAUAUUCAAUUCAUAACACUACUUUGAGGAAAUAAUAUAGUAGAAGGCAUUCAUCACAUUACAUUGAUAUGAUAAUUCAAACAUUCAUAAUGUUCAAUACAAAAGGAAUUAGCUCUAUACAUUUAGAGACUAAUUAUAUACCUUCAUAUAGGCACCAAUAGUGGUCUUCCAUCAUAUGAAGCCACAUAAUAAGUUCUUAACAAAAUAAGAAAGUUUAAAGACUAUCUUUAAGUGCCUAACAAACUUCCUAAGUAGUUAGCAAAAAAUGGUGGCCGAACCCUUCUCCAUCCUUUUCCUUGCUUGUUCAUCUUCUACUUGGCUC
Molecule: long non-coding RNA, 1127 nt
Filed under: Malus domestica (apple)
Lineage: Eukaryota; Viridiplantae; Streptophyta; Magnoliopsida; Rosales; Rosaceae
Description: long non-coding RNA (MDOM_LNC012311)
Source: RNAcentral